UAAUACGUAGGGUGCGAGCGUUGUUCGGAAUCAUUGGGCGUAAAGCGAGAGUAGGUGGUUUGCUAAGUCGGGUGUGAAAUCCCUGGGCUCAACCCAGGAAGUGCAUUCGAAACUAGCUCACUUGAAGAUGGUAGAGGAAGGUGGAAUUCCAAGUGUAGAGGUGAAAUUCGUAGAUAUUUGGAGGAAUACCGGCGGCGAAGGCGGCCUUCUGGACCAUUCUUGACACUGAGACUCGAAAGCGUGGGUAGCAAACAGGAUUAGAUACCCUGGUAGUCCACGCCGUAAACGAUGGGUACUAGGUGUUGCGGGAAUUGACCCCUGCAGUGCCGAAGCUAACGCAUUAAGUACCCCGCCUGGGAAGUACGGCCGCAAGGUUA
RNAcentral lists this ribosomal RNA (377 nucleotides) under uncultured bacterium. RNAcentral describes it as "bacterial SSU rRNA". It matches the Rfam family "Bacterial small subunit ribosomal RNA", at positions 521 to 896 of the family's 1533-position model. The record is from RNAcentral.